AAGAUAUUAGUAAUACUUAUUACAUAACUUUGCCAUAGUUAAAUCACAGGUUUAAACCCUGUAUAUCUUA
This 70-nucleotide transfer RNA is filed under the name Myrmecobius fasciatus (numbat). RNAcentral describes it as "transfer RNA-Asp". It matches the Rfam family "tRNA". Rfam says of the family: Transfer RNA (tRNA) molecules are approximately 80 nucleotides in length. The record is from RNAcentral. Lineage: Eukaryota; Metazoa; Chordata; Mammalia; Dasyuromorphia; Myrmecobiidae.